RNAcentral lists this ribosomal RNA (494 nucleotides) under uncultured bacterium. RNAcentral describes it as "partial 16S ribosomal RNA". It matches the Rfam family "Bacterial small subunit ribosomal RNA", at positions 28 to 507 of the family's 1533-position model. The record is from RNAcentral.
GACGAACGCUGGCGGCGUGCUUAACACAUGCAAGUCGAACGGAAAGGCCUGCUUUCCCUUGUGGAUUGCGGGUACUCGAGUGGCGAACGGGUGAGUAACACGUGAGUGAUCUGCCCCCAACUUGGGUAUAAGCCUGGGAAACUGGGUCUAAUUCCCGAUAGGACUGCAGGGUGGUGCCUGUGGUGGAAAACGAUUUUCUAGUGGUUGGGGAUGAGCUCGCGGCCUAUCAGCUUGUUGGUGGGGUAAUGGCCUACCAAGGCGGCGACGGGUAGCCGGCCUGGGAGGGUGGACGGCCACAUUGGGACUGAGAUACGGCCCAGACUCCUACGGGGGGCAGCAGUGGGGAAUAUUGCACAAUGGGCGGAAGCCUGAUGCAGCGACGCCGCGUGGGGGAUGACGGCCUUCGGGUUGUAAACUCCUUUCGACCGCGAGGAAGCCACCUGGUUGGAAGGGUGGUGACGGUAGUGGUAGAAGAAGCACCGGCUAACUACGUG